GCAGUUUUAAAGAAACAAAAAUACAUAGGCAUUGGGUUCUCAUUCUUAGUAACCUUGGCUUAUUUUCAUCUAAUUUUGGUGUCCAUUCCCUGUUCCCUAACACCUAUUUUCUAAUUAAAUUCAUAUUAAAGUUUCAAAUUUAUGAGACAGAGCACAGAAAACAUACAGUGUGCUUGUCACACAGGUGGCUUUAGGGAGAAUCAUUUCAACGUAAACACCAAGAGAUUGGUCUGGAGCCCAGAAAAAUAAAAAAAAGAAAAUAAGCAUUCCACUUCUCCAGACUCUGCUGUUUUCAGGGUGGUACCUCCAACCAAAAGCUUGUUUCUUAUUCAUCCAUCACUUCUGUACUUUGUCUUGACCAUGAACUCUUGGUCAAGUCAUUAAUCUCUCUGAGCUUUUCUCAUCUGCAAAUUGUAGAUAAUUUCAAUAAUCCUAAAUUUUCUGGGCUAAUCUGUGAUGAUAUGUGUGAAGGCAAUUGAAAACCUCUAAAAUAUCUUACAAAUAUUGACCUAUUAUGAGAAUGUGUGUUUAAAUACAUAAAACAUUAAAUACAAAUAAAUACAAAAUACAAAAAAAAUGUUAAAUACAAACAAAAUUCCCUGAUUCCCCCUUCUAAGAAGCCUGAAAGUUGGGUGAUCCAGCAGGAAAGGAGAGCGAACCUCACCAUCAGGAUGGAAUAAGAUGCCAAAGAUAGGAGGAGAGUGGAAACAAGGGAGAGCCCAGCGAGACACUGUUUAAUGUUUGAAAUCAGUGCCAAGCUAAAUUAGAAACAUGAGUCUGUGUACCUGUAACUUACCUCAUCGGUAUAUCAUCUGUAACCUGAGAUCCCCUCACAGAGAAGUAAAAAUAGCAAGGCUCUUGGGCUGAGUGCAGGAGGGCCAGCGUGGGGAAGGAUAAAGGGACUAGGCAGAGAACGCCAAUCACGUGGUCUGAGCGAGAACUCCUCCUCACCCCUUGGGUGGUGGCAGGGGGAAUACAGCCAAGAGAGGUGACAUCAAGGGCAUAACAAGAAAACCUUGUGGGAGGAGGAGGUCCUGCUGCCCUAGAGCCACCCGUUUUUGUCAUAGGCGUUAUGACAUUUCCUCAAAACGAAGCAUCAUUGACGUCCUGCGCCUGCCUGCUCCUGCCCUGAUCAAGGUGCAAAAGGAGUUAAAAAAGAAGUUACAUUUUCACAUGACCUAUUUUUCACGUCUAUGAUCACAUAGAGCUUUACAAAAUGCCCCAUGAGGAAAAGAAGAAUCCAGUGUGUUGUUACCAUGGAAGGUUGAGCUGAUUCUAAUUGGGUGGAUCUGGCAGUAGAUACCAGGCCAAGUUAGUGGUUUUGAGGACUUGAAGACGGGGAGGACAGUGUUGGCUCUUUGACUCUUCUCACUCAUCCUGGAACCUUGGCCCAGGGGUGAGGCUGGGUUCACGAGCUGCUCUGGGAUGCAUCCUCAACGCUCCAUUUUCAAGGCCGACUUCUGCAAACAUCCUCUCAGGGUUGCUGUCUCUGUACUCUGGCUGUUGUGAAUCUCUGUGUACGGGGGCCAAGAAGAUCCAACUCAGUCUCUUCCAAAUCUUUCCAACUCCAGCCCCAUGAAAACACCAUAUGGCUCCCUCCUCCUCCCUCAUUUUUUUAAACACUUCAGUGGUUUUUAGCAUAUUCACUAUGUUGUGCAACCAUCACUACUCUAUAUAUUUGUUUUAAAAUAAAGCCUUAGAUCACAACCAUGCUUUUUUUAAAAAAACAUUAUUUGUAAUUAGAGGGUAAUAGCAGACAAAUAUUACAAUGAAAACAAAACUGUGCUAUUCAGUUCUUGCUAAAUCAUGCUGCCCGUUGAAAGCUUUGGGCUUGAGGGCUGUUCCGUUUGCUAAAGAGAGAAGUCAUCGAAGGUCACAUUGACGUUGAGGAUAUACUAG
Equus caballus (horse) is the source of this 1899-nucleotide long non-coding RNA. The record is from Ensembl. NCBI's taxonomy places the organism in Eukaryota, Metazoa, Chordata, Mammalia, Perissodactyla, Equidae.